GCGCGAGCUGGGCCAGGACCUGCUGCGCCGCUCCCGCGACGUGUGGGCCGACGACGAGGACCACCCGGCGUACUCCCGGAUCCUCACCGAGCUGGCGCCC
RNAcentral lists this transfer RNA (100 nucleotides) under Nocardioides aquaticus. RNAcentral describes it as "tRNA-Arg". Lineage: Bacteria; Bacillati; Actinomycetota; Actinomycetes; Propionibacteriales; Nocardioidaceae. The record is from RNAcentral.